GAUGAACGCUGGCGGCGUGCCUAAUACAUGCAAGUCGAGCGAACGGACGAGAAGCUUGCUUCUCUGAUGUUAGCGGCGGACGGGUGAGUAACACGUGGAUAACCUACCUAUAGGACUGGGAUAACUUCGGGAAACCGGAGCUAAUACCGGAUAAUAUUUUGAACCGCAUGGUUCAAAAGUGAAAGACGGUCUUGCUGUCACUUAUAGAUGGAUCCGCGCUGCAUUAGCUAGUUGGUAAGGUAACGGCUUACCAAGGCAACGAUGCAUAGCCGACCUGAGAGGGUGAUCGGCCACACUGGAACUGAGACACGGUCCAGACUCCUCCGGGAGGCAGCAGUAGGGAAUCUUCCGCAAUGGGCGAAAGCCUGACGGAGCAACGCCGCGUGAGUGAUGAAGGUCUUCGGAUCGUAAAACUCUGUUAUUAGGGAAGAACAUAUGUGUAAGUAACUGUGCACAUCUUGACGGUACCUAAUCAGAAAGCCACGGCUAACUACGUG
Molecule: ribosomal RNA, 497 nt
Filed under: uncultured bacterium
Lineage: Bacteria
Description: partial 16S ribosomal RNA
Rfam family: Bacterial small subunit ribosomal RNA
Source: RNAcentral